Molecule: ribosomal RNA, 261 nt
Filed under: Ochrobactrum sp. BA7
Lineage: Bacteria; Pseudomonadati; Pseudomonadota; Alphaproteobacteria; Hyphomicrobiales; Brucellaceae
Description: partial 16S ribosomal RNA
Rfam family: Bacterial small subunit ribosomal RNA
Source: RNAcentral
GCAAGUCGAGCGCCCCGCAAGGGGAGCGGCAGACGGGUGAGUAACGCGUGGGAACGUACCUUUUGCUACGGAAUAACUCAGGGAAACUUGUGCUAAUACCGUAUGUGCCCUUCGGGGGAAAGAUUUAUCGGCAAAGGAUCGGCCCGCGUUGGAUUAGCUAGUUGGUGAGGUAAAGGCUCACCAAGGCGACGAUCCAUAGCUGGUCUGAGAGGAUGAUCAGCCACACUGGGACUGAGACACGGCCCAAACUCCUACGGGAGG